This 497-nucleotide ribosomal RNA is filed under the name uncultured bacterium. Its description in RNAcentral is "partial 16S ribosomal RNA". It matches the Rfam family "Bacterial small subunit ribosomal RNA", at positions 28 to 507 of the family's 1533-position model. The record is from RNAcentral.
GAUGAACGCUGGCGGCGUGCCUAAUACAUGCAAGUCGAGCGAACAGACGAGGAGCUUGCUCCUUUGACGUUAGCGGCGGACGGGUGAGUAACACGUGGGUAACCUACCUAUAAGACUGGGAUAACCUCGGGAAACCGGAGCUAAUACCGGAUAAUAUUUCGAACCGCAUGGUUCGAUAGUGAAAGAUGGCUUUGCUAUCACUUAUAGAUGGACCUGCGCCGUAUUAGCUAGUUGGUAAGGUAACGGCUUACCAAGGCAACGAUACGUAGCCGACCUGAGAGGGUGAUCGGCCACACUGGAACUGAGACACGGUCCAGACUCCUACGGGAGGCAGCAGUAGGGAAUCUUCCGCAAAGGGCGAAAGCCUGACGGAGCAACGCCGCGUGAGUGAUGAAGGUCUUCGGAUCGUAAAACUCUGUUAUUAGGGAAGAAUAAACGUGUAAGUAACUGUGCACGUCUUGACGGUACCUAAUCAGAAAGCCACGGCUAACUACGUG